AAAAACAAAAAUACAGUAACUUUCAAAAACAGCUAAGUACUUAUAUAUAAAGAACUUAAGUAAUAAUUAAAUCAAACAAAAAAAAUAUAUGUACCAGUACAAAACAUUGGACAAUAUGCUGCGUGUCAAAAAGGCACAUCCACUCAGCUAUUGCUGCGCCUUAGAGGAACUCGAAGGACACAGCACUGGUGUUUCAGUGGAUGCCCAGCGUGACGCACGAAACAAAUACAAAUAAUAUUGACAAAAAAACAGUUAUUGCGCGAGCGACGCCGCAGUGUGAUCACGUGUACUCCUGAAAACGGGAUUUCGCACCGCCAGGGCAGAGAGGCCCGCCCAGCUGCGCUCGUCGCACGCGCACAGGUGCCAAAUAGAUAUAACAAAAUAGAAACAGAAUAAUUAAAAAAAACAAAACAAGACUUGACAAUAACCUGUGAUGCAUUAUUAAUGACUACCUAUGGAGACAGUAUUUAUUAUACAAAUACAUAAAUAAAACCAAUAGUUUGUAUAUAUUAUUGCACAUGCCAUCGCCGUGUUCAAGCAGAUCCAGGAACAAUGGAAAUCCUACCUUACGCACUGAGGAUAAGGUCGUGGUAAGUGCAAUUU
Molecule: non-coding RNA, 603 nt
Organism: Plutella xylostella (diamondback moth)
Lineage: Eukaryota; Metazoa; Arthropoda; Insecta; Lepidoptera; Plutellidae
Source: RefSeq, a predicted model, not a curated record